GACCGGAUAGCCUAGCAGUAAAGGCAUCACAUUGACAAUGCUGAGGUCCCAGGUUCAAAUCCUGGUCUAGUCC
RNAcentral lists this transfer RNA (73 nucleotides) under Cronartium ribicola 11-2. Its description in RNAcentral is "tRNA-Val (GAC) (tRNA-Val-GAC-86-1)". It matches the Rfam family "tRNA". From Rfam's summary of the family: Transfer RNA (tRNA) molecules are approximately 80 nucleotides in length. Their secondary structure includes four short double-helical elements and three loops (D, anti-codon, and T loops). The record is from RNAcentral. Lineage: Eukaryota; Fungi; Basidiomycota; Pucciniomycetes; Pucciniales; Coleosporiaceae.